UGGUUAAAAAGCUCGUAGUUGGAUCUCAACGGCCUUGCAAGCGGUUAACUUUGUAGGUUUACUGCUUUAUAGGCUGUGCUUUUGCUGGAGGUAUAGGGGUGCUCUUGAUCGAGUGUCUCUGGAUGCCAGCAGGUUUACUUUGAAAAAAUUAGAGUGCUCAAAGCAGGCUAAAAUGCCUGAAUAUUCGUGCAUGGAAUAAUAGAAUAGGAUGUCGAUCCUAUUUUGUUGGUUUUCGGGACUCGACAUAAUGAUAAAUAGGGACAGUCGGGGGCAUUUGUAUUCAAACGACAGAAGUGAAAUUCUUGGACCGUUUGAAGACAAACUACUGCGAAAGCAUUUGCCAAGAAUGUUUUCAUUAAUCAAGAACGAAAGUUAGAGGUUCGAAGGCGAUUAGAUACCGCCCUAGUUCUAACCAUAAACGAUGCCAGCUAGCGAUCUGCCUGCGUUUUUACUGUAGACUGGGCAGGAAGCUUCCGGGAAACCAAAGCAUUUGGGUUCCAGGGGAAGUAAGGUUGCAAAGCUGAAACUUAAAGGAACUGACGGAAGGGCACCACCAGGAGUGGAGCCUGUGGCCUAAUUUGACUCAACACGGGAAAUCUCACCAGGCCCGGACACUGGAAGGAUUGACAGAUUGAUAGCUCUUUCUUGAUUCGGUGGGUGGUGGUGCAUGGCCGUUCUUAGUUGGUGGAGUGAU
Molecule: ribosomal RNA, 694 nt
Filed under: uncultured marine eukaryote
Lineage: Eukaryota
Description: SSU rRNA
Rfam family: Eukaryotic small subunit ribosomal RNA
Source: RNAcentral